GCAGAAGGAUCAUUAGUGAAGAUUUGGGCAGGCCAUACGGACGCCAAAAAAGUGUCCCUGGCCGCCUACACCCACUAUACAUCCACAAACCCGUGUGCACUGUCUUGGAGAAAGGCUUCUUGAGAAGUUUUGUGGCCUCUCUUGGGGUCUUUCUUCGCUACAAACUCGAAUGGUUAGUAUGAACGUGGAACUUGGUUGGACCGUCACUGGCCAACAAACUAUACACAACUUUCGACAACGGAUCUCUUGGUUCCCCCA
Molecule: unclassified non-coding RNA, 258 nt
Filed under: uncultured fungus
Lineage: Eukaryota; Fungi
Description: partial contains 18S rRNA, ITS1, 5.8S rRNA
Source: RNAcentral